GGGGUGAGAAAUAUUUUUUAAAAAAUUAUUUUUUUGCAACUACUACUAAUUGUUAUUUAUUUUUACCUUUUUAUUUUAAAAACAUAAUGUAACUUGACAAACACUUUAUUUAAAAAAAAAAUAUGAAAUAUGAAAUAACAAAAUACUAUUGAUUGGUGAAAGGUUCAUCCUAGGAGGUAAACCUAGAACCCAAGAAAAACUCAUCAUGAACGGUGAUGCCUUGGAUUUCUAGGUGCAACACCUUACAUUUGCUUGGACUUGUCAAAACGUACCCGACCCAUUUCAAACACGAGACACAUCAUUGUAAACACGACUCUCCAAUAAGUCGAUACCUGCAUUCUUUCUUUAGAUUCAAAACCCGAUAGAGUUUAGUGAUAACUCUGUUGUUUUUAUUGUCAUCCUCGCCAGCUCCUCUAUCCUCGAUUUGUUCGUUUUAAACCAACAUGAUUUGUAACUUUUUUCCUCGGCAUCAAUUAGUGUUUUCAUUGAGGCU
RNAcentral lists this long non-coding RNA (493 nucleotides) under Brassica napus (rape). RNAcentral describes it as "long non-coding RNA (BNAP_LNC016215)". The record is from RNAcentral. Lineage: Eukaryota; Viridiplantae; Streptophyta; Magnoliopsida; Brassicales; Brassicaceae.